This 465-nucleotide ribosomal RNA is filed under the name uncultured bacterium. RNAcentral's name for it is "partial 16S ribosomal RNA". It matches the Rfam family "Bacterial small subunit ribosomal RNA", at positions 28 to 507 of the family's 1533-position model. The record is from RNAcentral.
GACGAACGCUGGCGGCGUGCUUAACACAUGCAAGUCGAACGGAAAGGCCCCUUUGGGGGUACUCGAGUGGCGAACGGGUGAGUAACACGUGAGUAACCUGCCCUUGACUUCGGGAUAACUUCAGGAAACUGGGGCUAAUACCGGAUAGGAAUCCUUGCUGCAUGGUGGGGGUUGGAAAGCUUCGGCGGUUUUGGAUGGACUCGCGGCUUAUCAGCUUGUUGGUGGGGUAGUGGCUUACCAAGGCUUUGACGGGUAGCCGGCCUGAGAGGGCGACCGGCCACAUUGGGACUGAGGUACGGCCCAGACUCCUACGGGGGGCAGCAGUGGGGAAUAUUGCACAAUGGGCGGAAGCCGGAUGCAGCAACGCCGCGUGCGGGAUGACGGCCUUCGGGUUGGAAACCGCUUUCAGCAGGGGCGAAGCUUGUGGUGACGGUACCUGCAGAAGAAGCACCGGCUAACUACGUG